RNAcentral lists this ribosomal RNA (470 nucleotides) under uncultured bacterium. RNAcentral's name for it is "bacterial SSU rRNA". It matches the Rfam family "Bacterial small subunit ribosomal RNA", at positions 50 to 513 of the family's 1533-position model. The record is from RNAcentral.
CGUAUCUGCAGUCGAGGGGCAGCAGGUCUGUAGCAAUACAGAUGCUGGCGACCGGCAAACGGGUGAGGAACACGUACGCAACUUUCCUUCAAGUGGGGGAUAGCCCAGGGAAACUUGGAUUAAUACCCCAUAAUAUUACGAAGCGGCAUCGUUUUGUAAUUAAAGCUCCGGCGCUUGAAGAUGGGCGUGCGCCUGAUUAGGUAGUUGGCGGGGUAACGGCCCACCAAGCCUACGAUCAGUAACUGGUGUGAGAGCACGACCAGUCACACGGGCACUGAGACACGGGCCCGACUCCUACGGGAGGCAGCAGUAAGGAAUAUUGGGCAAUGGACGAAAGUCUGACCCAGCCAUGCCGCGUGGAGGAUGAAGGUCCUCUGGAUUGUAAACUUCUUUUAUCUGGGAAGAAAUCUACGGUUUCACUGUAGUUGACGGUACCAGAUGAAUAAGCACCGGCUAACUCCGUGCCAGCA